This is a long non-coding RNA of Clupea harengus (Atlantic herring), 1937 nucleotides long. RefSeq lists it as uncharacterized. Lineage: Eukaryota; Metazoa; Chordata; Actinopteri; Clupeiformes; Clupeidae. The record is from RefSeq and is a predicted model, not a curated record. The transcript has 2 exons.
CCUUCCUGCGAGUUGGAACUGAGUGGGCAGUGCCUGAGUGCUGGAGACAGGAGACGUAUUGUGUUCGGGCCAUCCUGCCCCAUCUGGAGGUAGUGGAGUGGCAGAAGUGUCUUCAUUCAGCACUCUUAUCCUCCCUCCCCCCCUUCUCCAUCCCUCCAUCGGUCUCUCCCUCUCUCCCUCCCCUCUGCUAGCUGUUAGGUAGUGUUGAGGCAGAAGUGUCUUCAUUCAGUAGGCUCUCAUCCCUCCCUCUCUCCCUCCCUCCUUCUCUUUCUCUUUCCCUCCCCCUUUCUCUCUAUCCCUCCCUCCCCAUCCUCCCUCGCUCGCUCCUUCCCUCCCUUCUGCUGUGUGUCAGUAGUACCCUGUUGCAGUAAAUCAGCCCUAACUAGGCAGGACUUGGCCACAGUCGGUAAGGGCAGAAAGCACUGACUGCUCUUUGUAGGAACCACCACACCAGGGCCACAGGAGGAGGAACAGAGAAGCAGAAGAGAGGAAAAGGAUCUGUAACCUAAAACCAUAAGACAAAAAAAAGACUCUUAAACCGGAAGGCUCUCCAAAAGGAAAAGAACAAAAGGAACGUCUGGUUCUGGCCGGGGUUCUGUCUUGUUUUUAACAUCCACCCAGGAGAGUUCAUCUUAUAGGUAAGAAUGGCCAGCUGUGGCUGCUGUUUCUGGGGGAUCAUGUGGUUGAUCGUGCUGCUGGUGAUUGGCUGGCCUCUGAGCAUCUUCCUGGGGGGGCUGUACGGCUUCAUCGCCCCCCUGACGGCAUGUCUGGGAAUCGACCGCCUGGCAGACCUGCUGAUGGAGGGGGCCAACCUGGGACGCACCUGUGCCCAGAACAUGCGUCACGGGAAACCACUGUGCUGAGGAACGCCUGGCGGCUAGUAUAUACUUGUGAUGAAGCUAACCUGGCGCUACACAUGCACACAAAUCUGUGCAGAGCCUCACCUUUUCCAACACACACACACACACACACACACACACACACCUACCUAUCUGACCUGAACCUAACUUCUUCCAGCAGACAUACACACAUACCUAUCUGACCUGAACCUAACUUCUUCAAGCAGACAUACACAUAUACAUUAAAAUACAGCCACAUCUGUGCAGAGUUUGGCCUGUCCCAAACCACACACCAAUACACACACAUACUGAACCUAACCAACCCCAUUACACACACAGCAUGCCUGUCCCAACCCAUACACACACACACACACACACACACUCAUGCUGAACCUAACCGAUGCCAUUACACACAACAUUCCUGUCCCAACCCACACAAACACAUAAGUUUCAUUCCUCCCCACCCCACACUUGUGCAGAAGAAGCUGAGAAUAAACACAGGUCACCUCAGAUGGUUAUGCACUGGAACAAAAUCCUCCAGAAUAUUAUUAACAGAUUAGAUUAAGCUAAUUUAGAUUAGAUUAACUGUUUUACCUUAACUUGCUUCAGGAUGCUUUAUAACAUGCACAUGAGAGUGGCCAGUAGAGCCAUUGUAAUAUUUCAGUAUUUUAUGUUUACAAAUAUCUGAAUGAGAAAUGAAAUAUUUAAAGGCCAUUGUAUCUUACUUAAUGUUAACAUCAUCUAGAUCCAACAAAGUGCCUGGACAAUUCUAAAAUGUCUUCUUUUUUUUUAAUCAAAACUGUCUUUUGUGGAUAUUUGAAAUGAGAUGUGUCCAAUAUCCACUAUGGUGCUGUAUGCUUGUAUCUCCAUUAAAACCAAAAGUGUCAUGUCUAUGAUAGGCACUCAGUGACUGUCUGAAGUGCCUCUCACUUGUUAUUACAUUAAAUACAGUUUUAGAAUUGAUACAAGUGUUGUUAUGACAAGUUAAGUUUGGUUGGUACUGGGAACAAAUGUACUACAAUAAAUGUAUUUUGAUUAAAAAAAAUGAUGUAAGUAUAGAGCCAAUGAAGUAAAAACCCAUCUGCCUUGAUAUUAAAA